UUUGGUGAUUCAUGAUAACUUUACGGAUCGCAUAGCCUUGCGCUGGCGACGGUUCAUUCAAAUUUCUGCCCUAUCAACUUUCGAUGGUAAGGUAUUGGCUUACCAUGGUUUCAACGGGUAACGGGGAAUUAGGGUUCGAUUCCGGAGAGGGAGCCUGAGAAACGGCUACCACAUCCAAGGAAGGCAGCAGGCGCGCAAAUUACCCAAUCCCGACACGGGGAGGUAGUGACAAUAAAUACUGAUACAGGGCUCUUUUGGGUCUUGUAAUUGGAAUGAGUACAAUUUAAACCUCUUAACGAGGAACAAUUGGAGGGCAAGUCUGGUGCCAGCAGCCGCGGUAAUUCCAGCUCCAAUAGCGUAUAUUAAAGUUGUUGCAGUUAAAAAGCUCGUAGUUGAAACUUGGGCCUGGCUGGCGGGUCCGCCUCACCGCGUGCACUCGUCCGGCCGGGCCUUCCUUCUGAAGAACCUCAUGCCCUUCACUGGGCGUGCUGGGGAAUCAGGACUUUUACUUUGAAAAAAUUAGAGUGUUCAAAGCAGGCCUUUGCUCGAAUACGUUAGCAUGGAAUAAUAAAAUAGGGCGUGCGUUUCUAUUUUGUUGGUUUCUAGAGACGCCGCAAUGAUUAACAGGAACAGUCGGGGGCAUCAGUAUUCAGUUGUCAGAGGUGAAAUUCUUGGAUUUACUGAAGACUAACUACUGCGAAAGCAUUUGCCAAGGAUGUUUUCAGUAAUCACUGCAAGAAAGUUAGGGGAACGAAGACGAUCAGAUACCGUCGUAGUCUUAACCGUAAACUAUGCCGAGUAGGGAUCGGGCGAUGUUCUUUUUCUGACUCGCUCGGCACCUUUCGAGAAAUCAAAGUUUUUG
Molecule: ribosomal RNA, 862 nt
Filed under: Pleosporales sp. Rco036EF4
Lineage: Eukaryota; Fungi; Ascomycota; Dothideomycetes; Pleosporales
Description: SSU rRNA
Rfam family: Eukaryotic small subunit ribosomal RNA
Source: RNAcentral